This 440-nucleotide ribosomal RNA is filed under the name uncultured bacterium. RNAcentral describes it as "partial 16S ribosomal RNA". It matches the Rfam family "Bacterial small subunit ribosomal RNA", at positions 338 to 795 of the family's 1533-position model. The record is from RNAcentral.
CCUACGGGCGGCAGCAGUGGGGAAUAUUGCACAAUGGGGGAAACCCUGAUGCAGCGACGCCGCGUGAGUGAAGAAGUAAUUCGUUAUGUAAAGCUCUAUCAGCAGGGAAGAAAAUGACGGUACCUGAGUAAGAAGCCCCGGCUAACUACGGGCCAGCAGCCGCGGUAAUACGUAGGGGGCAAGCGUUAUCCGGAUUUACUGGGUGUAAAGGGAGCGUAGACGGCAGUGCAAGUCUGGAGUGAAAGGCGGGGGCUCAACCCCCGGACUGCUCUGGAAACUGUACGGCUGGAGUGCAGGAGAGGUAAGUGGAAUUCCUAGUGUAGCGGUGAAAUGCGUAGAUAUUAGGAGGAACACCAGUGGCGAAGGCGGCUUACUGGACUGUAACUGACGUUGAGGCUCGAAAGCGUGGGGAGCGAACAGGAUUAGAUACCCCAGUAGUC